CCUACGGGUGGCUGCAGUGGGGAAUAUUGGACAAUGGGCGAAAGCCUGAUCCAGCCAUGCCGCGUGUGUGAAGAAGGCCUUCGGGUUGUAAAGCACUUUCAGUGGGGAAGAAAGCCUUGGGGCUAAUACCCUCGAGGAAGGACAUCACCCACAGAAGAAGCACCGGCUAACUCCGUGCCAGCAGCCGCGGUAAUACGGAGGGUGCGAGCGUUAAUCGGAAUUACUGGGCGUAAAGCGCGCGUAGGCGGUCUGAUAAGCCGGUUGUGAAAGCCCCGGGCUCAACCUGGGAACGGCAUCCGGAACUGUCAGGCUAGAGUGCAGGAGAGGAAGGUAGAAUUCCCGGUGUAGCGGUGAAAUGCGUAGAGAUCGGGAGGAAUACCAGUGGCGAAGGCGGCCUUCUGGACUUACACUGACGCUGAGGUGCGAAAGCGUGGGUAGCAAACAGGAUUAGAUACCCUUGUAGUC
RNAcentral lists this ribosomal RNA (465 nucleotides) under Vreelandella stevensii. Its description in RNAcentral is "partial 16S ribosomal RNA". It matches the Rfam family "Bacterial small subunit ribosomal RNA", at positions 338 to 795 of the family's 1533-position model. The record is from RNAcentral. Lineage: Bacteria; Pseudomonadati; Pseudomonadota; Gammaproteobacteria; Oceanospirillales; Halomonadaceae.